GUAUACAAACGAGGUACGGCUAA
RNAcentral lists this microRNA (23 nucleotides) under Triops cancriformis. RNAcentral describes it as "tcf-miR-10344". The record is from miRBase by way of RNAcentral. Lineage: Eukaryota; Metazoa; Arthropoda; Branchiopoda; Notostraca; Triopsidae.